Molecule: ribosomal RNA, 460 nt
Filed under: Capnocytophaga granulosa
Lineage: Bacteria; Pseudomonadati; Bacteroidota; Flavobacteriia; Flavobacteriales; Flavobacteriaceae
Description: bacterial SSU rRNA
Rfam family: Bacterial small subunit ribosomal RNA
Source: RNAcentral
GAUGAACGCUAGCGGCAGGCCUAACACAUGCAAGUCGAGGGAGAAGCCCUUCGGGGCAGAAACCGGCGCACGGGUGCGUAACGCGUAUGCAACCUACCUUUCACAGGGGGAUAGCCCGAAGAAAUUUGGAUUAAUACCCCAUAAUAUUAUUGGAUGGCAUCAUUUGAUAAUUAAAAUUACGAUGGUGAAAGAUGGGCAUGCGUCCUAUUAGCUAGUUGGAGUGGUAACGGCACCCCAAGGCUACGAUAGGUAGGGGUCCUGAGAGGGAGAUCCCCCACACUGGUACUGAGACAGGGACCAGACUCCUACGGGAGGCAGCAGUGAGGAAUAUUGGUCAAUGGUCGGAAGACUGAACCAGCCAUGCCGCGUGCAGGAAGAAUGCCUUAUGGGUUGUAAACUGCUUUUAUAUGGGAAGAAUAAGGAGUACGCGUACUUUGAUGACGGUACCAUAUGAAUAAGC